GUGAAGUUAGAAGAGGCGGCGGUUACGAUACCAGUCAUCUUCUUGCUUUGCAAUUCCAGCGUUUUCUCUGUGAUUUUAGUGAUCUUCUUGCAAUUCCAGUCAUCAAUAUGGAGAACGAUUUGAUUGUGCGCUGUCCUAAUUGCGGCGAUGAGGUGCAGAAUCUUUUAAAACACUUGAUCGAAGAGCACGAUUUGAAAAUGUGCAAUGCAUGUGAGAAGCCAUUGGAGGAGAAGAGAUGCUACCUGUGGACCAAAGAUGGCGGAGGUCUGAAAGCCCAUUGGAGUUCCAAGCACAGAGCUGACUUCACUUUCUGCAAAAUCAACAAGUGCGUGCUUCCUAUGACUCCCGCCGGGGAGACUCAUACGUGCGAAUACAAAUGAUUCGGUUAUUCAAAGUUUCAAUAUGGUGGAUGUAUUGAUCUGGAUUCUUUGUAAGCAGUAAAGAUACGAGAAAUUCAUCCAGUGGAGGAACACAUGCAGUAGAUGAUUGAUUGGCAUUUUCACAAGCUCCUGCUAAAGCUGCCCAAAGUCCAAGAGAUCUGCUUUGUAAUUGUCAAAUUGCAUCAAGUCAGAAGGUAUGUUUUCAUGAAUCUACUAUUGAACCAAAAGACAUCUUUUGCCCAAUAUUGUGGCAAUUCCUCACAAGUGUACUCUUGCUAGAUAUUUAGGAAUUCAGAAUAUAGAUGGUCUGACAGGUCUGAUACUCAAGGUUUACUAAACAAAAUGUAGAAAAAGUUUAUCAAGCCACAAAUCUAAGCUAUUGUCAAAAAUUCAACUAAUUCAACUAUGUCUAAUCACGUUCAGUAUACAUGUCUUUCUGCUAAAAUUGUCUUCAUCAGAUUAAUAAGAUGAUUAGAGAUCUUUUGGGGGGGUAACUGUUAGUUGCUUGGUCUUCUCAUUGUAAAAACAAGAAAAUAUGGGGUUUACGUGUUAGGAAUCCAGCAUUAUAAUCAAGCUUCAAUCUAAAUUAGGAUGGCACAUGUCAACCUACUCUCAUAAUGUGUGGGUCAAUAUUAUGACAGAAAGAUAGUUAAAGAACCAUUCCUUUUUUGAGGUGACUGAAAAAGUGGGGAACUCAGUAGUUGGAAAGCAAUAUUAAGAGCCGGACAUAUAAAGCAUUAGAUAUAUCAUAGGUAAUGGCCGGCAAGUUCAGUUUUAGAAUCACAAUGUUAACCUGCCCUUGGAGGCUUCUUUUAGAUCUGUUCAUCUUUCUGAAAGGUAUCUGCUUACAUUUUGCAUCAUACUAGGAAUCUGCCAAAACUGAAUGCACUUCUGCCAUAGUUCAGUCUAUUGUUGGUAUUAAUAUUCCUUUAGCAGAUAUGUAGGAUCAAUUUGUUUGGACCCUUCCCUGUAGUGGUAAGCUCAAUGCUAAAGCUGCAACUCAUGCGCAAUUAUUCAAUAAUUAUUCAUCUCAUUUAUCAAAAGUAUGGAAAGAAAAAUUACCACCAAAAGUUCAAUUGUUUGCUUGGCACUUUUACCAAAGUAGACUUUCUGCAAGGGAAAAGCUUUCAAGAUUCUCUAACUUACCAGAUGCUUGUCCUAUCAAUGUUGAAUCAUAACAUCAUCUUAUGGGACUGUUCUUAUGCUCAACAAGUUUGGGAAAGUUUGGCAAUUUUAUUCCACUUAUUCUUCCCUACUAAUUGUCAUAUUGUGCAGUGGCUACAGCAGUGGAAUUCUAAUUAUGCAUUUCUAAUUGAGAGAUAUAUUACUGUUUGUCUGUGAACUGUGGCGUUUGGAAUCAGAGGAAUCAAUUGGUUUUUAAUCUGUCAACCAAAAGAAAUAUUUGUUAUUAAUCAUAUAGCUCCUACUGUGUCUCAAGCCCGUUUUUAUAUUUUAUAUUUUAAAUUUCUUAUGAGAUUUCGGUUAAAAAAGUAAUGUUGUUAUGAAUAAAAUCAGGCACAGACAUAAACAACCUAGUGGGUGGUCAGCUCCUGCUGAGAAUUUUUAUAAGCUUAAUUUUGAUGGAUCAGUGUUGCCAUUCGUCAAGCUUCUGUUGGCAGUAAUAUAUAUGUCUGGUGAAGUUGUUGUUGUUGCAGGUUCAGCUUCUUUCGGUAAUAUUUCAGUAGUAGUUCAAGCAGAAUUUACAACUCUUAAAUUAGGUCUUAUACAAGCUGUCAGACUCAAUUCAGAUGUUGCAAGGGAAGGUGAGUUUGAAUGCUCAUCAAUGUGAUUCACAAGAAAGCUCAAGUUCCAUGGAGGAUAUACACUAUCUACAGACAUUUAGCAGCUCUCUUUCCCAAUUCCCCAAAUUAAUUUUGCUCAUACUUUUGUGAGGCUAACACACUAGCUUGCCGACACAUUUGCAACUUUGGAUCACACAUGUGAUCAUUCUUGGGUUUCUACAUUUUCUAAUGAGGUGUUGUUUGAUUAUCGAAGAUCCAUGUGGAUCGUCUUUGUAAUGCUGUUUUGACAUAAAAAGAAAAGAAAAGAUGCAUACAAAAUUUUGUCACCUGUUUAAUGAUUAUUUGCAGUUGAAAUCA
Rosa rugosa (rugosa rose) is the source of this 2479-nucleotide long non-coding RNA. RefSeq lists it as uncharacterized. The record is from RefSeq and is a predicted model, not a curated record. The transcript is spliced from 3 exons. Lineage: Eukaryota; Viridiplantae; Streptophyta; Magnoliopsida; Rosales; Rosaceae.